CCUACGGGAGGCUGCAGUGAGGAAUAUUGGUCAAUGGACGAGAGUCUGAACCAGCCAAGUAGCGUGAAGGAUGACUGCCCUAUGGGUUGUAAACUUCUUUUAUAUGGGAAUAAAACGUUCCACGUGUGGGAUUUGGUAUGUACCAUAUGAAUAAGGAUCGGCUAACUCCGUGCCAGCAGCCGCGGUAAUACGGAGGGUCCGGGCGUUAUCCGGAUUUAUUGGGUGUAACGGGCGAGUAGGUGGAUUGUUAAGUCAGUUGUGAAAGUUUGAGGCUCAACCGUAAAAUUGCAGUUGAAACUGGCAGUCUUGAGUACAGUAGAGGUAGGCGGAAUUCGUGGUGUAGCGGUGAAAUGCUUAGAUAUCACGAAGAACUCCGAUUGCGAAGGCAGUUCACUGGACUGCAACUGACACUGAGGCUCGAAAGUGUGGGUAUCAAACAGGAUUAGAUACCCGGGUAGUC
RNAcentral lists this ribosomal RNA (460 nucleotides) under uncultured bacterium. RNAcentral's name for it is "partial 16S ribosomal RNA". It matches the Rfam family "Bacterial small subunit ribosomal RNA", at positions 338 to 795 of the family's 1533-position model. The record is from RNAcentral.